This 238-nucleotide long non-coding RNA is filed under the name Gallus gallus (chicken). The record is from RNAcentral. Lineage: Eukaryota; Metazoa; Chordata; Aves; Galliformes; Phasianidae.
UGAUCUUUAGCCUUUUUGAGGUGUGUGGAAAACUUGGACAGAAGAAGCUCCACUUUAUAGCUCCCUUUUAGGUACAGAAAGGUCACUGUCAGGUCUCCCCAAAGCCUUACCUUCGCCAGGCUGAACAGCCCCAGGAAUCUCAGCCUGCCCACAUAGGAGAGGUGUUCCAACUCUUGGAUUUCUUUUGUGGCUCUCCUCUGGAUGUGCUCCAACAGGUCUGUGUCUCUCCUGUAUUGAG